RNAcentral lists this ribosomal RNA (497 nucleotides) under uncultured bacterium. Its description in RNAcentral is "partial 16S ribosomal RNA". It matches the Rfam family "Bacterial small subunit ribosomal RNA", at positions 28 to 507 of the family's 1533-position model. The record is from RNAcentral.
GAUGAACGCUGGCGGCGUGCCUAAUACAUGCAAGUCGAGCGAACGGACGAGAAGCUUGCUCCUCUGAUGUUAGCGGCGGACGGGUGAGUAACACGUGGAUAACCUACCUAUAAGACUGGGAUAACUUCGGGAAACCGUAGCUAAUACCGGAUAAUAUAUUGAACCGCAUGGUUCAAAAGUGAAAGACGGUUUUGCUGUCACUUAUAGAUGGAUCCGCGCUGCAUUAGCUAGUUGGUAAGGUAACGGCUUACCAAGGCAACGAUGCAUAGCCGACCUGAGAGGGUGAUCGGCCACACUGGAACUGAGACACGGUCCAGACUCCUACGGGAGGCAGCAGUAGGGAAUCUUCCGCAAUGGGCGAAAGCCUGACGGAGCAACGCCGCGUGAGUGAUGAAGGUCUUCGGAUCGUAAAACUCUGUUAUUAGGGAAGAACAAAUGUGUAAGUAACUGUGCACAUCUUGACGGUACCUAAUCAGAAAGCCACGGCUAACUACGUG